AGCUUUGUGCAGUGGUAGUAUCGUAGCCAAUGAGCUUUAUCCAAGGCGUGAUUAUUGCUAAUCAAAGCUACGUUAUGCAA
This 80-nucleotide small nuclear RNA is filed under the name Octodon degus (degu). RNAcentral's name for it is "U4 spliceosomal RNA (ENSODEG00000025691.1)". The stretch from base 1 to 66 matches the Rfam family "U4 spliceosomal RNA". From Rfam's summary of the family: U4 small nuclear RNA (U4 snRNA) is a component of the major U2-dependent spliceosome. The structure of U4 snRNA from yeast and human has been reported. The record is from RNAcentral. Lineage: Eukaryota; Metazoa; Chordata; Mammalia; Rodentia; Octodontidae.